GUACACGCUGUGACUAGCAUAUCAAUAAGCGGAGGAAAAGAAACUAACAAGGAUUCCCCUAGUAACGGCGAGUGAAGCGGGAAGAGCUCAAAUUUGAAAUCUUAAAGGGUUUCCCUUUACGAAUUGUAGUUUAAAGAAGUGUUUUCUGUUGAGGUUUUGGUAAAAGUUCUUUGGAAUAGGAUAUCAUAGAGGGUGAGAAUCCCGUAUUUGACCUUUACUUUCAACUUUGUGAUACACUUUCAAAGAGUCGGAUUGUUUGGGAAUGCAGUCCAAAAUGGGUGGUAAAUUUCAUCUAAAGCUAAAUAUUGGCGAGAGACCGAUAGCGAACAAGUACCGUGAGGGAAAGAUGAAAAGAACUUUGAAAAGAGAGUUAAACAGUACGUGAAAUUGUUAAAAGGGAAGCGUUUGACACCAGUGUUGUUUUUCUGAAAAUCAAUUAAAGAACUGUUUAUGCUAAGUUGUUUAGACUUUAUCAGCUAACUGUUUAGUUUUGAGCUUUUCUUUAAUGCACUUUUCAGUUAACAAGUCAACAUCAAUUUCUUUUGCUGUAAAAAAGCUUGAGGAAGGUGGCUUGAGAUUCGUCUUAAGUGUUUAUAGCCUCUUGCCUAUGCAGUCGGAGAGAUUGAGGUCUGCAGCGUAGAUCCUUCGGGGCUAAAUGCAUUUGUGCUAAGUUAUAGCAUUUUAUAGACAACUUGUUGACUAUGAUUUGUCUUGUAGCUUACUCGCUUAUGUUAUUUUACCUACGCUUAGGAUGUUGACGAGACUGUCGAUCUC
Molecule: ribosomal RNA, 774 nt
Filed under: uncultured Neocallimastigales
Lineage: Eukaryota; Fungi; Neocallimastigomycota; Neocallimastigomycetes; Neocallimastigales
Description: partial large subunit ribosomal RNA
Rfam family: Eukaryotic large subunit ribosomal RNA
Source: RNAcentral